This 253-nucleotide ribosomal RNA is filed under the name uncultured bacterium. RNAcentral's name for it is "partial 16S ribosomal RNA". It matches the Rfam family "Bacterial small subunit ribosomal RNA", at positions 524 to 776 of the family's 1533-position model. The record is from RNAcentral.
UACGGAGGAUGCAAGCGUUAUCCGGAAUGAUUGGGCGUAAAGCGUCCGCAGGUGGCUAUGUAAGUCUGCUGUUAAAGAGUGAGGCUCAACCUCAUAAAAGCAGUGGAAACUACAUGGCUAGAGUGCGCUCGGGGCAGAGGGAAUUCCCGGUGUAGCGGUGAAAUGCGCAGAUAUCAGGAAGAACACCCGUGGCGAAGGCGGCUCUCUGGGACGGUACUGACGCUGAGACGCGAAAGCGUGGGGAGCGAACAGG